Long non-coding RNA from Solea solea (common sole), 820 nucleotides. RefSeq lists it as uncharacterized. The transcript has 3 exons. Lineage: Eukaryota; Metazoa; Chordata; Actinopteri; Pleuronectiformes; Soleidae. The record is from RefSeq and is a predicted model, not a curated record.
CGCUCGAUGAGUAGGACUGUGCGCUGCUUCACGUCUGUGAUGCUCGUCCACCUGUGUGCUUAUAGCGUGUUUUUGUUGUACUGCAGAGCGGCUGGGCUUGCACGCCACGCUCAAGGUGCGCUGUGUGUUCAGCUUGCGGCGGUGAAUGCCGGUGGCAGCGCGAGUCUCUCUCUGUCUCCCCCUAUGUGUUGUGCGGGCGUCAUACUCGGCAACAAGAUAAAUGUUGGCCACCUGGCUGAUGAAACUGUGACUUGGGUGACGUGACGAUCAGCUGUCCCCUGCUGCUUUGUCUCGACAUGAUUUUGUUCAGCUUAACGGCUUCUGCCGCUGCCCCAAGUAGGUCCAGCUGCAGACCCGCAGACCACUCAACGACACCCCCCCCCACUCAACGACACACCCCCUCACACUCUACGACACACCCCCUCACACUACACGACACUCUGAUUGGGUCACAGAAGAGACUGCGUCUGAAACGUGAUGACGUUUACUAACGUGAUGACGUUUACUAACGUGAUGACGUCUACUUUUAUUGAAACUUUAUUUACACAUGCGUAUUUCAUAGACACUUGUUGACAAGAGACUUUUAUCCCGGUGUGCGACUGGAAUAGAGAAGAAUAAAUACUCGUGUUGACUUUUAUGAACACAGAAAUGUUAUUUCUGUGAAAUUUGUGAAUAAUUAAUGUCACUUUUGUAAAGUAUGAAAUGUUAUAGCCAAACUGCUAAAAUAUAUAAAUGCCGAUUGGAAAAGUUCUUUCAACAUCACGUUUACACAAUAUAGUAUCAUGUUUAUGUGAUAUAAUAUAACGUUUACACAAUAUAG